AGAAAAGGUAAAUUCCUCAACCUUGGUGCUGCUGCAACAGGAAGAGGAACUCAGGGUUCUCCCGGAGAAGCGGCGGCGGCGGCUCCUCCAAGUCGGUGAGGCUGAUGUCGAGCCCUGAUCGCGAUAUGUCGUCCAGAGAGAAUGCAGCAGUGACUCUGCUUGAUGCUUGUCAUACUGACUGACCUGGUCUGUUGUUUUGGAGCACCAUUGUUCCAACUCCUGCAAGCCAGCCUUGACAAAUUCUGCAUUGCUAAAUGAACAGCAUUCUCGGCGGAGCAGCAAGCUGCUGAUCACGGAGCAACCGAUUCUCUGACUCCAAUGUGCUGAUCUUGUUUUCAAGGCUGGAGGAUAAUUGCAAUACAUAAGUCAAGCUCAUUAGGAAUACAUUUUAGAGUGAAUGCACCUGAUAGCCUUGCAAGCCCAUCCUGUCACAUAUAGCUGCACAUGCUGUUUUUUCGUCGGAGCUGCAUGAUCUAGUAUGAAAUCAGUAUAUUCAGUCACAACAUCCAUGGUUUCAUGCACUUAAGAGAAGCUGAGUUCAAUUUCUUAUGGAGAAGUUUUGUACCCAUCUAUAAGAUCUGGUUCAAGAAUUCCAAAACGAUCAACGAAUUCAUCAAAUGUCCUCUUUGUUGGAUAGCCGGCACAGCUGAUCCUGAUUGCCUCUAACACACCCUAGAUUUGGAGCAGAGAAGUGGUGAGACAUGUUACGGGUGCAUUUCAAUCCACAUAGUUUCCUAUAAAUUACUAUAAAAUUCCAGUGCAAAUGUGCUACUGACCCCACAUCUCAAUUGGUUGAGUACAUUGACGUUUUCAAAGAUGCCUGGUUUUAAGACUGAGUUGGGCUUCACACAUCUGAUGUAAUGUGGCUCUGUUGUGCUCAAAGUUUCCAUUAGUGAUUGAAGUUGUUGCUGCAAAAUUCACCUACAGAACUAUCAGAAAUUUGAAAGACACUUGGACAGAUGAAUUUCAAAUCUAUAUCACCUGCACACCUUGAAACGAGUACCUAUUGAGGAGAACUUGGACUGUUUUGAAGUUUCCUCAGCUAAUGGCAGAAAGAGAUUUGCCACAAAGGGACACUUUGAAGCAUUUAAUAGAGCUUGAUGUUCUGCAACGACAUAGUCUUUGUUCUUGUCAAGGAAUUGAUCAGCUUGAGAACUCUCUGCACAAAAAGAAGGAAACAGAUGUACCAUGCUUCAUCAAGUAGCGCAAUUAUUCCUCCUGGUUUCUGCAUUCAAACGAUAAGAAUCAGGACAUAAAUUAUCAUGAUGGGUAUCACAUGAAUGCUGAGUAGGAAGUGCAUUUUACCUCCAGGACCUGUUGCUCUACUGUUCGGCCCUCCGUACAUGAUCUCCCACCCAUGAAAGCCAAAUAUCUCAUGAGCAUCUUUGUGGUCUCUGUUUUACCAGCUCCACUCUCGCCACUAACCAAGAUUGACUGGCUUCCCUGGUCAUUUAUGAUUGCCCUGAUACCUGUAGCAAGCAUCUGCGAUGGCGAAAAGAUGCGGACUUAGCUCACCGAAGGCAGCUCCCUUGUACUGUUCCAUCAUGUGGACAUCAUACAGAUGUGGAAGCCUCCGAAAUGGAUUCACAGCUAUCAAUAUAUUUCCAGUGUAUGUCUGUCAAAAAAGUUAGUAAAUUGUUUCGGUACCAGGUUCCUCUGUCUCUAACUAGUGAGACAAUGUUGCUUUGAGGUUGAUUAGGAGGAAGAAACAUACAUAUAUCUCAUUCAGAGCAUAGCGGGACUCGAGGUUGUGAAGCACUCCUGGUUCAUGGAGGUAAGCUAACUUGGUCAUAUCAUCCACCCCAGCUGGAGGAGCCUCUGUGUCUUUGGGGUAUAUGCUCGACAGACUAGCCACAUCCUGUGCAUAGGAUCAACAACAAUAGUUGUCUUUGAUUAGUGUUGAAUUACUGUAAGGUGGAGCAAACUAUCACAUUUUGGUAUCAGAAUUUGUACACAUCAAGCAGAUAUGAAAUGCAGAAUAUGAUGCUAUUUGUAUCUGAA
This is a long non-coding RNA of Musa acuminata AAA Group (dessert banana), 2001 nucleotides long. RefSeq lists it as uncharacterized. Lineage: Eukaryota; Viridiplantae; Streptophyta; Magnoliopsida; Zingiberales; Musaceae. The transcript has 7 exons. The record is from RefSeq and is a predicted model, not a curated record.